GGAGGUAUAGCUCAGUGGUAGAGUGUGUGCCUAGCAUACAUGAGGGCCUGAGUUCAAUCCCCAGUACCUCCA
RNAcentral lists this transfer RNA (72 nucleotides) under Camelus bactrianus (Bactrian camel). It matches the Rfam family "tRNA". From Rfam's summary of the family: Transfer RNA (tRNA) molecules are approximately 80 nucleotides in length. Their secondary structure includes four short double-helical elements and three loops (D, anti-codon, and T loops). RNAcentral also lists the same sequence under 2 other names. The record is from Rfam by way of RNAcentral. Lineage: Eukaryota; Metazoa; Chordata; Mammalia; Artiodactyla; Camelidae.